GAUGAACGCCGGCGGUGUGCCUAAUACAUGCAAGUCGUACGCACUGGCCCAACUGAUUGAUGGUGCUUGCACCUGAUUGACGAUGGAUUACCAGUGAGUGGCGGACGGGUGAGUAACACGUAGGUAACCUGCCCCGGAGCGGGGGAUAACAUUUGGAAACAGAUGCUAAUACCGCAUAACAACAAAAGCCGCAUGGCUUUUGUUUGAAAGAUGGCUUUGGCUAUCACUCUGGGAUGGCCCUGCGGUGCAUUAGCUAGUUGGUAAGGUAACGGCUUACCAAGGCGAUGAUGCAUAGCCGAGUUGAGAGACUGAUCGGCCACAAUGGAACUGAGACACGGUCCAUACUCCUACGGGAGGCAGCAGUAGGGAAUCUUCCACAAUGGGCGCAAGCCUGAUGGAGCAACACCGCGUGAGUGAAGAAGGGUUUCGGCUCGUAAAGCUCUGUUGUUGGAGAAGAACGUGCGUGAGAGUAACUGUUCACGCAGUGACGGUAUCCAACCAGAAAGUCACGGCUAACUACGUGCCAGCCGCCGCGGUAA
RNAcentral lists this ribosomal RNA (539 nucleotides) under uncultured bacterium. RNAcentral describes it as "partial 16S ribosomal RNA". It matches the Rfam family "Bacterial small subunit ribosomal RNA", at positions 28 to 523 of the family's 1533-position model. The record is from RNAcentral.